GAGAUGUUAGUAAAAUAUUAUAUAACUUUGUCAGGGUUAAGUUACAGGUGAAAACCCCGUACAUCUCA
Molecule: transfer RNA, 68 nt
Filed under: Rucervus eldii eldii
Lineage: Eukaryota; Metazoa; Chordata; Mammalia; Artiodactyla; Cervidae
Also listed under: 2 other names
Description: tRNA-Asp
Source: RNAcentral